RNAcentral lists this ribosomal RNA (491 nucleotides) under uncultured bacterium. RNAcentral describes it as "partial 16S ribosomal RNA". It matches the Rfam family "Bacterial small subunit ribosomal RNA", at positions 29 to 506 of the family's 1533-position model. The record is from RNAcentral.
AGUGAACGCUGGCGGUAGGCCUAACACAUGCAAGUCGAACGGCAGCACAGUAAGAGCUUGCUCUUACGGGUGGCGAGUGGCGGACGGGUGAGGAAUACAUCGGAAUCUACUUUUUCGUGGGGGAUAACGUAGGGAAACUUACGCUAAUACCGCAUACGACCUACGAGUGAAAGCAGGGGAUCUUCGGACCUUGCGCGAUUGAAUGAGCCGAUGUCGGAUUAGCUAGUUGGCGGGGUAAAGGCCCACCAAGGCGACGAUCCGUAGCUGGUCUGAGAGGAUGAUCAGCCACACUGGAACUGAGACACGGUCCAGACUCCUACGGGAGGCAGCAGUGGGGAAUAUUGGACAAUGGGCGCAAGCCUGAUCCAGCCAUACCGCGUGGGUGAAGAAGGCCUUCGGGUUGUAAAGCCCUUUUGUUGGGAAAGAAAAGCAGCAGGUUAAUACCCCGCUGUUCUGACGGUACCCAAAGAAUAAGCACCGGCUAACCUCGU